This 253-nucleotide ribosomal RNA is filed under the name uncultured bacterium. Its description in RNAcentral is "partial 16S ribosomal RNA". It matches the Rfam family "Bacterial small subunit ribosomal RNA", at positions 524 to 776 of the family's 1533-position model. The record is from RNAcentral.
UACGUAGGGGGCAAGCGUUGUCCGGAUUUAUUGGGCGUAAAGAGCGUGUAGGCGGCCUGACAGGUCUGCUGUGAAAACUCGAGGCUCAACCUCGAGAUGUCGGCGGAAACCGUCUGGCUAGAGUCCGGAAGAGGAGAGUGGAAUUCCUGGUGUAGCGGUGAAAUGCGUAGAGAUCAGGAAGAACACCAGUGGCGAAGGCGCUCUGCUAGGCCGUAACUGACACUGAGGGACGAAAGCUAGGGGAGCGAACAGG